UGAACGCUGGCGGCAUGCCUAACACAUGCAAGUCGAACGCGAAAGCACCUUCGGGUGCAAGUAGAGUGGCGGACGGGUGAGUAACGCGUGGGAAUCUGCCCAGUAGCUGGGGAUAACUCGAGGAAACUCGAGCUAAUACCGAAUACGCCCUACGGGGGAAAGGCUUCGGCCACUAUUGGAUGAGCCCGCGUCAGAUUAGCUAGUUGGUAGGGUAAUGGCCUACCAAGGCGACGAUCUGUAGCUGGUCUGAGAGGACGAACAGCCACACUGGGACUGAGACACGGCCCAGACUCCUACGGGAGGCAGCAGUGGGGAAUAUUGGACAAUGGGCGAAAGCCUGAUCCAGCAAUGCCGCGUGUGUGAAGAAGGCCUGCGGGUUGUAAAGCACUUUCAGUUGGGAAGAUUAUGACGUUACCAACAGAAGAAGCACCGGCUAACUCC
Molecule: ribosomal RNA, 441 nt
Filed under: uncultured bacterium
Lineage: Bacteria
Description: bacterial SSU rRNA
Rfam family: Bacterial small subunit ribosomal RNA
Source: RNAcentral